UUUGGGAUUCGGCUAGCAAUUUUUUGAUGAAAAUCACGAUAAAAACCUACAAUUCGUAACAGCGAGUCAACUGUGCUUGCUUUCCAGUCAUCGGCUCCUGCGAGGAAAGCUAUUAACUAUAAACUAUGUACGAAAGAACUCUUUGAACGUUUUUAAACAUCGUGUCUAAUGUACAUGUGCACGAUGUGGACGACGUGGUCUCUUUUCAAGGUUAAAAGACUCAUGGUGAAAGACUCAGGUGAAAAGACUCAGGUGAAAAGAUUCAGGUGAAAAGACUCAGGUGAAAAGACAAAAGUAUCAUGAGAGAGCUGAUGGGCAUAUAUCAUAUAUGAACGAGAACAGUAUUGUAUACAAAGCACUGUUUACCUUCUUUAUUUUUUUGGUUUUCAGAAUUGGAGCCACCUCAAAUAGUAGUAGAUUUUUAGCACAUUUUGAUGCAUUGAUGUAUUGUGUAAUAAUGCAAAAAACAAUCAUUAAACAGUAUAACCAUUUUUGGCUAAAUACA
Molecule: long non-coding RNA, 505 nt
Organism: Xenia sp. Carnegie-2017
Lineage: Eukaryota; Metazoa; Cnidaria; Anthozoa; Malacalcyonacea; Xeniidae
Exons: 2
Source: RefSeq, a predicted model, not a curated record